GCUGAAUAGGCAGUUGAUGGCCAGUGGAGUUGAUUUCCUUUGGAGUAUGGCCACUUGUACUUUUCCCAUGUCCAGAGGCUAAUCCCAGAGCCAUACAACACUCCUGUGACUCGAAAAUUAAAUUCAACUUUCUCCUCAUUUCUAUCAUCUAAUGAGAACCCCAAGCUCCUUGAAACACCAUAUCCCUAUUCCUCUUUCAAAUGGUCUCAGAUAUGAAAGAUUGGUGAUUAAGGUGAAGAAUGAUGAUUGCAGCACUUCAAUUGCACUUUCUUGAAACUUCUAUGUUCAAGGUUUUGUAAAACAAACAAACAAAUAAAUAAAUAAAGUACCUCUGGAGGCAUUGUUAUCUCCCCAUGAGUUCUUACCUGAUGUGAGAGUGUAUCAGAGCAGCUGUCUACACUUCCUCAUCUCAUUGUCUAUCAAAUCAUCCCUGAAUCACGCCUGCUACCCAUCUGCACACCUGCUGCAUGGAAAGCAACCAAGGAUAGUGGAUGAGGAGGACCA
This is a long non-coding RNA of Mastomys coucha (southern multimammate mouse), 504 nucleotides long. RefSeq lists it as uncharacterized. The transcript is spliced from 3 exons. The record is from RefSeq and is a predicted model, not a curated record. Lineage: Eukaryota; Metazoa; Chordata; Mammalia; Rodentia; Muridae.